ACCGCUCCCCCCAUCCCGUCACCUGCGAGCACGUCCAGGUUUCUUGUCGCUACUGGAGACGUAGUGGAUCUUCGAUUUCGCUGCAUGAUUCAUCGAUUCCGGUUUCUGUAAGGAUGUCAUUCGAUUGGAAAAUGUGUAAUUUCGUGUUUUUGUCGAUUUCCUCGAUCUUUUAUGGUAUUGUUGGGUGACUUCGGCUGUUUGAGAUCUCUGAUCUUCGGAAAGUUUCGACCUUUUCAGACCGUUCCCAUGUGAUCUCCGGUAGUCUCCUCCUCUAUCCCAGCUCUUUUGUCGUUCAUCUUCGCACACAGAAGAAUCUCGUUCUCCGUUGUGUUUGGCUUGCCACCUUUUCUUUUUUCCCCUAGUUCUGCUCCACGAGGUGAUUUUUAGGUUUAUUGUGAGAUGGGUAGGUCGAGAUCGAGCACGGAGACAUUGCAAGAUCUCGAGCUGAGAUUUGGCUUGUCUACCCUAUACAAAUGCCAGAUUUGGCAGCAAGUCGCUUAAGGGGUUGUCCUGAGUUAAUACUGUUAUACUGAUCGAAGACGGCGAUGACGAUGUGAGGAUGUAUCCUCCUGCGUCUUGCGGAGAGAUGGUUGGGUUCAAUCCAUACUCAAGUUACUCCAGUUCAUGUGCACCUGCAAUUGAGAAGAUGAUCUAGAACUUCGGCUUGGAGUUGGAGCUUCUAAUCAGUAUCUUGGGAGUUUAAAUGGCUGGAGUACUACGUCAGAAGACAGAUCGAAAGGCCCAAAUGCAUGGAAUUCCGGCAAGAUAUGUCUUUGAAUCUUUUCCUCUCCAGAUGAUUAUUUCUUGUAACUUAACUGAAAUAUGAACUCCGGGAAGGAACUGAAUGCAGGAAAGCUCAAAGUUACUAGCUCUUCUUUCAUAGUUAGCUUGUCACUCAUAGCUGUUUCUUUCUUUAAUGUUGUAUACAUCUAAAAAAAAAUUGCUGUAUGCAUCUACUAUGGAGCUUAAUAGAAUUUCUGGAACCUCCGUUUCCUUGUUUGUA
Musa acuminata AAA Group (dessert banana) is the source of this 1003-nucleotide long non-coding RNA. RefSeq lists it as uncharacterized. Lineage: Eukaryota; Viridiplantae; Streptophyta; Magnoliopsida; Zingiberales; Musaceae. The transcript has 4 exons. The record is from RefSeq and is a predicted model, not a curated record.